Molecule: ribosomal RNA, 447 nt
Filed under: uncultured bacterium
Lineage: Bacteria
Description: partial 16S ribosomal RNA
Rfam family: Bacterial small subunit ribosomal RNA
Source: RNAcentral
AACGAACGCUGGCGGCAGGCCUAACACAUGCAAGUCGAACGCACCGCAAGGUGAGUGGCGCACGGGUGAGUAACACGUGGGAAUGUACCCUUUGGUUCGGAAUAACGUUUGGAAACGAACGCUAAUACCGGAUGAGCCCUACGGGGGAAAGAUUUAUCGCCAAAGGAGCAGCCCGCGUCUGAUUAGCUAGUUGGUGGGGUAAAGGCCUACCAAGGCUACGAUCAGUAGCUGGUCUGAGAGGAUGAUCAGCCACACUGGGACUGAGACACGGCCCAGACUCCUACGGGAGGCAGCAGUGAGGAAUAUUGGACAAUGGAGGAAACUCUGAUCCAGCCAUGCCGCGUGAGUGAUGAAGGCCUUCGGGUUGUAAAGCUCUUUCGGGUGUGAAAAUGAUGAUGGUAACACCAGAAGAAGCCCCGACUAACUCCGUGCCAGCCGCCGCGGUAA